Long non-coding RNA from Heterocephalus glaber (naked mole-rat), 1008 nucleotides. The record is from Ensembl. NCBI's taxonomy places the organism in Eukaryota, Metazoa, Chordata, Mammalia, Rodentia, Bathyergidae.
CAGUGGUCUUCGGGGGGCUUUGGAGUCUGACACUGGGAGUGGACCGGCCCAAGCCUAAGGCCACCAAAGUAGCUGCUGGGGGACCCUUCAGGAGUCCCAGGGCAAGGCCACUUGGAGUGGCCUUGAGAAACCAGUGCAUGUGGAGGAAAGGACCGGAGACAGGGAAGUGGGACACGAGAGGGUCGAAGUGCUGUGGUGUUGCCAGCAGAGCUGACGUGAGCUUCGGUCGUGUUACUAGGAGUACAGUGUGUCGCAUAACUAAGGUAACAUUGCACUUCUGUGCUGCGGGUGGAGUUGGAAUGCAGGGUAAGAGCGAGUUCUACCUUUUCAGAUUGUCACAGUCAAGUCAGAACUGGGCCCAAAGAGCAGAACAGGAGCAGUGAAGGCCAGGGCGCCAUCCUGUGUGCAUCAGCUGAAGGGCCUGGAUAUCUCUUUGCUGAGGGAGAGCAGAGAGGAGGAAGGUGAGGAUUGGACUUUGGGGUACUUGGACAUUUUCCUUGGAAGAGGAAGUAGAUUUUUCUGUGUGAUCCUGAAGGGAAAAAAAGACUCAGGCCUGGAAAUACAGUAAUAGAAAGCCAGGUUUAUGCUCAAACUGAAUAAUGCCUUUGACCAGUCAAAAAGAUAGCCAAGGAAGGAAAUGUUUAGGAAGAAGAAAGAAGAAACCUCAGUGACCCCUUGCUCUACUCUAUGUGAUCCCCACUCAGUUACUAAAAAUCAACUGUGUGUCAGACCCUGGUCUUGCACUGCCCAAAAGAGAGGACUCUGACACAGUCCUGUGAUUGAAGAGCUCAGUGUCUGGUGGAGGACAGAGACAUGUAAAAGGGGACAGCACAACCAGUUGGGUGAGCACUAUGGGCCAGGUGAGCUGUGAAGAUCCUGGGGACCCACUGCUGGUUCCUGGAUCUUUCAGGGGUCCCCCUGUGAGCCAUCAGAUCUCACAGGCUGAAUAGGCUUUGCCUUUUCCCAGAGUCUGAAGAAGACAGAGGCAGGGUUUCUGCAAAUCUAGGC